RNAcentral lists this signal recognition particle RNA (98 nucleotides) under Acidobacteriota bacterium. RNAcentral's name for it is "signal recognition particle sRNA small type". It matches the Rfam family "Bacterial small signal recognition particle RNA". From Rfam's summary of the family: The signal recognition particle (SRP) is a universally conserved ribonucleoprotein involved in the co-translational targeting of proteins to membranes. Archaeal SRP consists of a 7S RNA and homologues of the eukaryotic SRP19 and SRP54 proteins. Lineage: Bacteria; Pseudomonadati; Acidobacteriota. The record is from RNAcentral.
ACAUCGGUCUUACGCGAUGCAGCCCCGCCAAUCCCGCCAGGUCCGGAAGGAAGCAACGGUAACGGGUCGCUACAUGCGCAGUGAGUCUCCGAUGUCCG